RNAcentral lists this ribosomal RNA (431 nucleotides) under uncultured bacterium. RNAcentral describes it as "bacterial SSU rRNA". It matches the Rfam family "Bacterial small subunit ribosomal RNA", at positions 29 to 506 of the family's 1533-position model. The record is from RNAcentral.
ACGAACGCUGGCGGCAGGCUUAACACGUGCAAGUCGAACGAAGUCUUCGGACUUAGUGGCGCACGGGUGAGUAACACGUGGGAAUAUACCUCUCAGUGGGGGAUAACGUCGGGAAACUGACGCUAAUACCGCAUACGCCCUUCGGGGGAAAGAUUUAUCGCUUAGAGAUUAGCCCGCGUCCGAUUAGCUAGUUGGUAAGGUAACGGCUUACCAAGGCGACGAUCGGUAGCUGGUCUGAGAGGAUGAUCAGCCACACUGGGACUGAGACACGGCCCAGACUCCUACGGGAGGCAGCAGUGGGGAAUAUUGGACAAUGGGCGAAAGCCUGAUCCAGCCAUGCCGCGUGAGUGAUGAAGGCCUUAGGGUUGUAAAGCUCUUUCGACGGGGACGAUGAUGACGGUACCUGUAGAAGAAGCCCCGGCUAACUUCGU